AGUGAACGCCGGCGGUAGGCCUAACACAUGCAAGUCGAACGGCAGCACAGUAAGAGCUUGCUCUUACGGGUGGCGAGUGGCGGACGGGUGAGGAAUACAUCGGAAUCUACUUUUUCGUGGGGGAUAACGUAGGGAAACUUACGCUAAUACCGCAUACGACCUACGGGUGAAAGCAGGGGAUCUUCGGACCUUGCGCGAUUGAAUGAGCCGAUGUCGGAUUAGCUAGUUGGCGGGGUAAAGGCCCACCAAGGCGACGAUCCGUAGCUGGUCUGAGAGGCUGAUCGGCCACACUGGAACUGAGACACGGUCCAGACUCCUACGGGAGGCAGCAGUGGGGAAUAUUGGACAAUGGGCGCAAGCCUGAUCCAGCCAUACCGCGUGGGUGAAGAAGGCCUUCGGGUUGUAAAGCCCUUUUGUUGGGAAAGAAAAGCAGCAGGUUAAUACCCCGCUGUUCUGACGGUACCCAAAGAAUAAGCACCGGCUAACUUCGUG
This 492-nucleotide ribosomal RNA is filed under the name uncultured bacterium. RNAcentral's name for it is "partial 16S ribosomal RNA". It matches the Rfam family "Bacterial small subunit ribosomal RNA", at positions 29 to 507 of the family's 1533-position model. The record is from RNAcentral.